UGGGGGGAUAUUGCACAAUGGGGGGAACCCUGAUGCAGCGACGCCGCGUGGGCGAUGGAGCGCCUCGGCGCGUAAAGCCCUAUCAGCAGGGAAGAAGAUGACGGUACCUGACUAAGAAGCCCCGGCUAAAUACGUGCC
RNAcentral lists this ribosomal RNA (138 nucleotides) under uncultured bacterium. Its description in RNAcentral is "partial 16S ribosomal RNA". It matches the Rfam family "Bacterial small subunit ribosomal RNA", at positions 354 to 509 of the family's 1533-position model. The record is from RNAcentral.